This 878-nucleotide ribosomal RNA is filed under the name uncultured fungus. Its description in RNAcentral is "eukaryotic LSU rRNA". The stretch from base 432 to 585 matches the Rfam family "5.8S ribosomal RNA". Lineage: Eukaryota; Fungi. The record is from RNAcentral.
UCUUGGUCAUUUAGAGGAAGUAAAAGUCGUAACAAGGUUUCCGUAGGUGAACCUGCGGAAGGAUCAUUAAAGAAAUUUAAUAAUUUUGAAAAUGGAUUUUUUUGUUUUGGCAAGAGCAUGAGAGCUUUUACUGGGCAAGAAGACAAGAGAUGGAGAGUCCAGCCGGGCCUGCGCUUAAGUGCGCGGUCUUGCUAGGCUUGUAAGUUUCUUUCUUGCUAUUCCAAACGGUGAGGGAUUUCUGUGCUUUUGUUAUAGGACAAUUAAAACCGUUUCAAUACAACACACUGUGGAGUUUUUAUAUCUUUGCAACUUUUUCUUUGGGCAUUCGAGCAAUCGGGGCCCAGAGGUAACAAACACAAACAAUUUUAUCUAUUCAUUAAAUUUUUGUCAAAAACAAGAAUUUUCGUAACUGGAAAUUUUAAAAUAUUAAAAACUUUCAACAACGGAUCUCUUGGUUCUCGCAUCGAUGAAGAACGCAGCGAAAUGCGAUACGUAAUGUGAAUUGCAGAAUUCCGUGAAUCAUCGAAUCUUUGAACGCACAUUGCGCCCCUUGGUAUUCCAGGGGGCAUGCCUGUUUGAGCGUCAUUUCCUUCUCAAACAUUCUGUUUGGUAGUGAGUGAUACUCUUUGGAGUUAACUUGAAAUUGCUGGCCUUUUCAUUGGAUGUUUUUUUUCCAAAGAGAGGUUUCUCUGCGUGCUUGAGGUAUAAUGCAAGUACGGUCGUUUUAGGUUUUACCAACUGCGGCUAAUCUUUUUUUAUACUGAGCGUAUUGGAACGUUAUCGAUAAGAAGAGAGCGUCUAGGCGAACAAUGUUCUUAAAGUUUGACCUCAAAUCAGGUAGGAGUACCCGCUGAACUUAAGCAUAUCAAUAAGCGGAG